GACGAACGCUGGCGGCGUGCUUAACACAUGCAAGUCGUACGGUAAGGCCCUUUCGGGGGUCCCCGAGUGGCGAACGGGUGAGUAACACGUGAGUAACCUGCCCACAACUUUGGGAUAACGCUAGGAAACUGGUGCUAAUACUGGAUAUGUGCUCCUGCUGCAUGGUGGGGGUUGGAAAGCUCCGGCGGUUGUGGAUGGACUCGCGGCCUAUCAGCUUGUUGGUGGGGUAGUGGCCUACCAAGGCGGCGACGGGUAGCCGGCCUGAGAGGGUGACCGGCCACAUUGGGACUGAGAUACGGCCCAGACGCCUACGGGAGGCAGCAGUGGGGAAGAUUGCACAAUGGGCGCAAGCCUGAUGCAGCAACGCCGCGUGCGGGAUGACGGCCUUCGGGUUGGAAACCGCGUUCAGCAGGGACGAAGCUUUUUGUGACGGUACCUGCAGAAGAAGCACCGGCUAACUACGUG
Molecule: ribosomal RNA, 465 nt
Filed under: uncultured bacterium
Lineage: Bacteria
Description: partial 16S ribosomal RNA
Rfam family: Bacterial small subunit ribosomal RNA
Source: RNAcentral